RNAcentral lists this non-coding RNA (182 nucleotides) under Flavonifractor plautii. The record is from RNAcentral. Lineage: Bacteria; Bacillati; Bacillota; Clostridia; Eubacteriales; Oscillospiraceae.
CAACUUGAUAGCAUGGACAGUGCCGCCCUCCGGGGCGGGUAAAAGGGAAUCGGGUGCAAAUCCCGAACGAUCCGGUCACUGUAAGCGGGGAGCCGGCCGCAGACGCCAUUGUGGAGACACGAGAAGGCGCGGCCCGGCGGAGAGCCGUAAGUCAGGAAACCUGCUGUCUGUGCAGAAGGAUA